This 257-nucleotide ribosomal RNA is filed under the name uncultured Stenotrophomonas sp. Its description in RNAcentral is "partial 16S ribosomal RNA". It matches the Rfam family "Bacterial small subunit ribosomal RNA", at positions 97 to 354 of the family's 1533-position model. Lineage: Bacteria; Pseudomonadati; Pseudomonadota; Gammaproteobacteria; Lysobacterales; Lysobacteraceae. The record is from RNAcentral.
GGCGGACGGGUGAGGAAUACAUCGGAAUCUACUCUGUCGUGGGGGAGUAACGUAGGGAAACUUACGCUAAUACCGCAUACGACCUACGGGUGAAAGCAGGGGAUCUUCGGACCUUGCGCGAUUGAAUGAGCCGAUGUCGGAUUAGCUAGUUGGCGGGGUAAAGGCCCACCAAGGCGACGAUCCGUAGCUGGUCUGAGAGGAUGAUCAGUCACACUGGAACUGAGACACGGUCCAGACUCCUACGGGAGGCAGCAGGU